GCAGCCCAUAGGUGUAGCCCAAGCCUCUUUCAGUCUGCCAAAUGCCCCCGAAGUACGGAGAGGGGGAGAGAAAGAUCGAGAAAACCACGUACGGAGGAGGCGGAGAGCCGCGACGCGAAUCCGCGAUGACAUCCCCGGCGACCCUCGCGCCGCCGCUGGACAACGAGGAUCUCCUCUCCUUAAUCCUCAUCCGCCUCCCACCGCUACCAUCGUCCUUCUCCAGCGCCUCCCUCGUCUGUAAGCGCUGGCACCGCCUCGUCCGCGGCCCGGAUUUCCUCCACCGCUUGCGCGCAUUUCAUCGAACACCUCCGGUGCUCGGCUUCUUCCACAACUCCCCGGACUCCCCCCGCUUCGUCGCAAUUCAGGGGAUGUCCGGCAUCCGCAUCGCCGCUGCGGUGCGGGAUCUACGCAGGGACGGCGCCGGCGGCAUGUGGUGGUUCGUCGACUGCCGCCAUGGUCGCGCCCUUCUCCGCAGCCGCGAUUGGGUCGAUCUGCUUGUUUGGGAUCCCAUUACCGACCACCGCAGCUUAAUCAUCGUCCCCGACCAGGUGCGGGCAGGCGCGUCCGACUGCAAUGCAGCGGUCCUCUGCCCGGGCGCCACUGGCUGCGGCUGCAGCCCCUUCAGUGUGGUUGUUGUAUCCACCAGAGGACACUGCGCCUUCGCCUGCGUGUACUCGUCGCUAACCCGAGCGUGGGGCGAGCUGUUCUCCAUUCCAACGCCAUCACUGGAAUGUGAGCUCACGGAGGAACCUGGCACCCUUGUUGGGGAUGCAAUGCAUUGGCUACUUGGUGAGAGCAGCAUACUUGAGUUUCGAUUGGACGACCAAAGAUUAGCUCUUGUUGAGCGCCCAUUGGAGACGUUUUCUGUCUACAAGCGGAACAUCCGUGUGCUGAGGUCCGAGGGUGGCGUUCUUGGCCUCGCUGCUGUGAAGAAUUUUAGUCUGCAUCUAUGGGCACGGGAGGCUGACCAUUGUGGCACUGCAAAGUGGGUGCUGCGCAGAGCAAUUGAACUCUGCACACUCCUUGAACUGCCAUUGAUGCAGCCUCGUGUGGGCUCCAUUCCUGUCUGGAUAAGUGGGCUUGGUGAGGAUGGCAAUGUAGUGUUUCUACGAACCACGGUCGGCAUGUACGUGCUUUGGACCAAGACUAUGCAGUUCAAGAUGGUCACUAACAAUGUACUCAUGAAGACAGUUUAUCCCUAUGCUAAAUUUUACUUUCUAGAAGGUAGCUUUAACGGGUUGCUCAAGCCAUCUAUUUUCUAUCAACAUGAACCUGUGGGAUGAGAAUAGGCCAUGUAUCUAACUGCAUGUACAAUCAUUCGAAGCCAAAAAUUAAUUUGCAUCAAAGUUCAUGGCCUUUGAUCUGGACGGUGUUUCCUGGGAUUAAGUAUUGAAGAAAUUUGAUAACUGCAGUAACGGUAUUAAACUUCUGCCUUAUGAUGCUACCAUUACAUUAUUACUGCCUCCUUUUCUACAUCACCAAUUCUAACUUGACACAUUUGUAUUUUGUUUGAAUGCAAGUCAUUUCUGCAAGUACAUGGCAUCUUGAACCUUAACAAUCAGCAGGACUUUUGACAUAGAACAUUCUCUGGAUAUUACCCUAUGAAGUAAAGGGUUCAGAAACAUGUGUAUUGUGUAGCUGAUAGUUAUCUGUAUGGCUUGUCUUUACCUAUUAUUGUUAUUGGACAUCUCCAAUUCCACCAUGGGCCAAGGUUAUUUUUCUUUUGUUCUAGAAUGUGAGCUUUCACCGAUCAUUUGGUUGGUGUAGGUGAUGGCAUCAGGUUCAUCAGAGUAUAGCAAUGCAGACCAGGAAACAAGAUAAAAAAUGUUACCUGGUGUUUGAUGCAGAAAGCACUACUUUCUGUGCUCAGCAAGCAUUAGCUCCUAUGCUUUUGUCAGAUGUUUAAAUGCUUGAUUCACUUUCUUUUAGAUAAAUAUAAAGCAAUCAACUAUC
RNA transcript from Setaria italica (foxtail millet), 1953 nucleotides. RefSeq lists it as uncharacterized. The record is from RefSeq and is a predicted model, not a curated record. The transcript is spliced from 4 exons. NCBI's taxonomy places the organism in Eukaryota, Viridiplantae, Streptophyta, Magnoliopsida, Poales, Poaceae.